This 593-nucleotide ribosomal RNA is filed under the name uncultured Bacteroidota bacterium. Its description in RNAcentral is "bacterial SSU rRNA". It matches the Rfam family "Bacterial small subunit ribosomal RNA", at positions 122 to 715 of the family's 1533-position model. The record is from RNAcentral. Lineage: Bacteria; Pseudomonadati; Bacteroidota.
CAACCUGCCGAUGACUCGGGGAUAGCCUUUCGAAAGAAAGAUUAAUACCCGAUGGCAUAGUUCUUCCGCAUGGUGGAACUAUUAAAGAAUUUCGGUCAUCGAUGGGGAUGCGUUCCAUUAGGUUGUUGGCGGGGUAACGGCCCACCAAGCCUUCGAUGGAUAGGGGUUCUGAGAGGAAGGUCCCCCACAUUGGAACUGAGACACGGUCAAACUCCUACGGGAGGCAGCAGUGAGGAAUAUUGGUCAAUGGACGAGAGUCUGAACCAGCCAAGUAGCGUGAAGGAUGACUGCCCUAUGGGUUGUAAACUUCUUUUAUACGGGAAUAAAGUGAGGCACGUGUGCCUUUUUGUAUGUACCGUAUGAAUAAGGAUCGGCUAACUCCGUGCCAGCAGCCGCGGUAAUACGGAGGAUCCGAGCGUUAUCCGGAUUUAUUGGGUUUAAAGGGAGCGUAGGCGGACGCUUAAGUCAGUUGUGAAAGUUUGCGGCUCAACCGUAAAAUUGCAGUUGAUACUGGGUGUCUUGAGUACAGUAGAGGCAGGCGGAAUUCGUGGUGUAGCGGUGAAAUGCUUAGAUAUCACGAAGAACUCCGAUUG